Molecule: ribosomal RNA, 119 nt
Filed under: Ricinus communis (castor bean)
Lineage: Eukaryota; Viridiplantae; Streptophyta; Magnoliopsida; Malpighiales; Euphorbiaceae
Source: RNAcentral
GGGUGCGAUCGUACCCGCACUAAUGCACCGGAUCCCAUCAGAACUCCGAAGCUAAACGUGCUUGGGCAAGAGUAGUACUAAGAUGGGUGACCUCUUGGGAAGUCCUCGUGUUGCACCCC